Long non-coding RNA from Humulus lupulus (European hop), 732 nucleotides. RefSeq lists it as uncharacterized. Lineage: Eukaryota; Viridiplantae; Streptophyta; Magnoliopsida; Rosales; Cannabaceae. The transcript is spliced from 4 exons. The record is from RefSeq and is a predicted model, not a curated record.
AUUCAGCCUGUUUGGAACAAUUCAGAAGUUAUUGUCAAGGAAAAGAAAAUACUAUUUGUUUCCUUGUACUUUCUGAUAUGGGGUGAAGCAGCCAAUGUCAGAUUCAUUCCAGAAUGCUUGUGCUACAUAUUUCAUCAUAUGGCAAGAGAACUAGAUGAAAUUUUAAGGCAGCAGGUUCCACAGCCAGCCAAUAGUUGCAAGUCUGGGGAUAGUGUUUCAUUCCUUGAUCAAGUUAUAUUUCCUCUCUAUGGUGUUUUGGAAGCAGUAUGUUUAAGUAAAUAUAUUAUUGUCAAAUUGAAAUUAAAAGAAGUAAUUUUUAAUAUCCGACAAGGAUUUUCUUGCUUUAAAUUCUAAUUUAUAUUUUAUAACUCUUACUUAAGAGUUAGAAUUGUGUUUAUCUAACUUGGGUGUUGGUAUUCCUAACUAAGAUUGGGAUUUUGGGUUUAUUACUAGAAAGUGAUGUAAACAUUUUCUUUUUCCUCUUUAUAAUUUAUUUAUUUAUUUUGUUUUAGGAUGAUUCUUUGUUUUAUAAAAUGUUUAUAAUGUUUUUGGUAAGUUCUCAUAUUUAAAAGUGCACAGGAAACAAGAAGUAAUAAAAACAUAAAAGCACCACACUCUGCCUGGCGCAAUUAUGAUAAUUUUAAUGAGCAUUUUUGGUCACUUCAUUGUUCUGAACUUGGCUGGCCAUGGCGCAAAAGCUCACCCUUUUUUCAAAAGCCAGAACUCUCGAAG